GCGGGCGUAGUUCAAUGGUAGAACGAGAGCUUCCCAAGCUCUAUACGAGGGUUCGAUUCUUCGCCCGCUCCA
This 72-nucleotide transfer RNA is filed under the name Escherichia coli. RNAcentral describes it as "tRNA-Gly". It matches the Rfam family "tRNA". From Rfam's summary of the family: Transfer RNA (tRNA) molecules are approximately 80 nucleotides in length. Lineage: Bacteria; Pseudomonadati; Pseudomonadota; Gammaproteobacteria; Enterobacterales; Enterobacteriaceae. The record is from RNAcentral.